This 253-nucleotide ribosomal RNA is filed under the name uncultured bacterium. RNAcentral's name for it is "partial 16S ribosomal RNA". It matches the Rfam family "Bacterial small subunit ribosomal RNA", at positions 524 to 776 of the family's 1533-position model. The record is from RNAcentral.
UACGAAGGGGGCUAGCGUUGCUCGGAAUCACUGGGCGUAAAGCGCACGUAGGCGGCUUCUUAAGUCAGGGGUGAAAUCCUGGAGCUCAACUCCAGAACUGCCUUUGAUACUGAGGAGCUUGAGUCCGGGAGAGGUGAGUGGAACUGCGAGUGUAGAGGUGAAAUUCGUAGAUAUUCGCAAGAACACCAGUGGCGGAGGCGGCUCACUGGCCCGGUACUGACGCUGAGGUGCGAAAGCGUGGGGAGCAAACAGG